UACGUAGGGAGCGAGCGUUAUCCGGAAUUAUUGGGUGUAAAGCGUGUGUAGGCGGGAAAUUAAGUCUAAGGUCUAAGCCCGGAGCUCAACUCCGGUUCGCCUUAGAAACUGAUUUUCUUGAGUGUGGUAGAGGCAAACGGAAUUUCUAGUGUAGCGGUAAAAUGCGUAGAUAUUAGAAGGAACACCAGUGGCGAAGGCGGUUUGCUGGGCCACUACUGACGCUGAGACACGAAAGCGUGG
Molecule: ribosomal RNA, 240 nt
Filed under: uncultured bacterium
Lineage: Bacteria
Description: partial 16S ribosomal RNA
Rfam family: Bacterial small subunit ribosomal RNA
Source: RNAcentral